Molecule: ribosomal RNA, 437 nt
Filed under: uncultured Lachnospiraceae bacterium
Lineage: Bacteria; Bacillati; Bacillota; Clostridia; Lachnospirales; Lachnospiraceae
Description: bacterial SSU rRNA
Rfam family: Bacterial small subunit ribosomal RNA
Source: RNAcentral
ACGGGAGGCAGCAGUGGGGAAUAUUGGGCAAUGGGGGAAACCCUGACCCAGCAACGCCGCGUGAAGGAAGAAGGCUUUCGGGUUGUAAACUUCUUUUACCAGGGACGAAGGACGUGACGGUACCUGGAGAAAAAGCCACGGCUAACUACGUGCCAGCAGCCGCGGUAAUACGUAGGGGGCAAGCGUUAUCCGGAUUUACUGGGUGUAAAGGGAGCGUAGACGGUAUGGCAAGUCUGGUGUGAAAACCCGGGGCUCAACCCCGGGAUUGCAUUGGAAACUGUCAAACUAGAGUGCAGGAGAGGUAAGUGGAAUUCCUAGUGUAGCGGUGAAAUGCGUAGAUAUUAGGAGGAACACCAGUGGCGAAGGCGGCUUACUGGACUGUAACUGACGUUGAGGCUCGAAAGCGUGGGGAGCAAACAGGAUUAGAUACCCUGGUA